GUUGAUCCUGCCGGAGGCCACUGCUAUCGGAGUUCGAUUAAGCCAUGCGAGUCGGGAGGUGCAAGACCUCGGCAUACUGCUCAGUAACACGUGGACAACCUAACCUAUGGAGGGGGAUAACCCCGGGAAACUGGGGAUAAUACCCCAUAGACUAUGGAUGCUGGAAUGCUCUGUAGUUGAAAGGUCCGCCGCCAUAGGAUGGGUCUGCGGCCGAUUAGGUUGUUGUUGGGGUAACGGCCCAACAAGCCUGUAAUCGGUACGGGUUGUGGGAGCAAGAGCCCGGAGAUGGAUUCUGAGACACGAAUCCAGGCCCUACGGGGCGCAGCAGGCGCGAAAACUUUACAAUGCGGGAAACCGUGAUAAGGGAACUCCGAGUGCCCGUAAAAUCGGGCUGUCCAUCUGUUUAAAUAACAGGUGAAGAAAGGGCCGGGCAAGACCGGUGCCAGCCGCCGCGGUAAUACCGGCGGCUCGAGUGGUGGCCACUAUUACUGGGCUUAAAGCGUUCGUAGCUGGUUUGUUAAGUCUCUGGGGAAAUCUGCCGGCUCAACCGGCAGGCGUUCCAGGGAUACUGGCAGACUAGGGACCGGGAGAGGUGAGGGGUACUCCAGGGGUAGGAGUGAAAUCCUGUAAUCCUUGGGGGACCACCUGUGGCGAAGGCGCCUCACCAGAACGGCUCCGACAGUGAGGGACGAAAGCUGGGGGAGCAAACCGGAUUAGAUACCCGGGUAGUCCCAGCCGUAAACGAUGCGCGUUAGGUGUAUCGGUGACCACGAGUCACCGAGGUGCCGAAGAGAAAUCGUGAAACGUGCCGCCUGGGAAGUACGGUCGCAAGGCUGAAACUUAAAGGAAUUGGCGGGGGAGCACCACAACGG
This 872-nucleotide ribosomal RNA is filed under the name uncultured archaeon. RNAcentral describes it as "bacterial SSU rRNA". It matches the Rfam family "Archaeal small subunit ribosomal RNA", at positions 7 to 887 of the family's 1478-position model. The record is from RNAcentral.